AUUACAACAGAUGGUGACACUUCAAAAAUACUUCAUUGUUCUUUGACUUCUUCUUGUCAUUCUCAGAUGCGCCUGAAACUUUUUAUGACUCAUUCAUGACGGCAUGUUGACAGCUAAGCCAGCAAUUAAUGCCCAUCCCUAAUUGUCCAGAGGGCAGGUAAAAGUCAACCGCGUCACUAUGUGGUCUGCAGUCACAUGUAGGCCAAAUCAGGAUUAUCCCUGUUAGGUUUCGAUGGGGAAGAUGGUCGGGUAAGUUGGAGACCUGCUCCUGGAUCUCGGAUCAAAGAAUGCGUACAGUAUGGAGAGAAGCCAUUCGGACCAUUGAGUCUGCACUGACACUCUGAAGAGCAUCGCACCCAGACUGAGCUCCUACACUAUCACCGUAACCCCGCAUUUUUACCAUAGCUACAAGCCUGCACAUCUCUAGCCACUAUGUACAAUUUAGGGUAGCUAAUCUGCCCAACCUGUGACUGUGGGAGGAAGUUGGAGCACCUGGC
This is a non-coding RNA of Chiloscyllium plagiosum (whitespotted bambooshark), 497 nucleotides long. The record is from RefSeq and is a predicted model, not a curated record. NCBI's taxonomy places the organism in Eukaryota, Metazoa, Chordata, Chondrichthyes, Orectolobiformes, Hemiscylliidae.